Molecule: unclassified non-coding RNA, 323 nt
Filed under: Hevea brasiliensis (rubber tree)
Lineage: Eukaryota; Viridiplantae; Streptophyta; Magnoliopsida; Malpighiales; Euphorbiaceae
Source: RNAcentral
GCCAAACCCCAUCUCUAUCGCCAAAACCAAAUCUCACUUUCUUCUGCUUUUCAUUUUGCAGUCUAAUUGUUGAAUAAUAGAGACCACCAAAUGGCAGAUUGGGGACCGGUGGUUAUAGCGGUGGUGCUCUUCGUCCUGCUCAGUCCAGGCCUUCUCUUUCAGAUCCCAGCCAGAGGAAGAGUCGUUGAAUUUGGAAAUAUGCAGACGAGUGGGGCUUCCAUUUUAGUCCACGCCAUCAUCUUUUUCGGCCUCAUCACUAUCUUCCUCAUCGCCAUCGGCGUUCACAUCUACACUGGCUAAUAAAUCUCUCUUCUCCUCUUUAA